GAGGAGGUGGUGCAGAUGGCGGGCUCGGUCAUGGCGAGGAAUACCAAGAACGGCGUCGAUCGGCCAAGAACGGCGUCGAUAAGUAACUGAAGGUAGACAUCUCGUACCUUUCCUGUUGAUUCUUUCGCUUUUCCUUGAGAUCAAAAGCGAUGUAGUUUCUUCUUUCACUUCGCGAUCUCCUUCGCGAGAGCGAAAGUGCUGAUAACAUGUUGAAAGUGAAUAAGAUUGAUUGAGCGAGAGGGAUUGAGCGAGAGAGAAUUGCACACAAGAAUGUAGGGAAUGAAUGAGCGGUAUCUUUAUUGAUCGAUGCGGUAUAAUAUAUAGAUAGGGAAGGGGUGGCAACCGGAGACGCGAUGGUUGGGAACCAUCACGUCCGUUGCCAAGGAGCGCCUAGGGAAGGCGCGGUUGCCUUCGGUUGCGAUCCAUCCUUUUAUAUGGAUGAGAUCACCCUGUUGUUUCAUAACAUGAUCAAUGGAUCUGACAGGAACCGAAAAGGAGAGGAUGGUCAUCUGGUCAAGCGAUGCAACAAAAUUUAUAACUCCGUAUUUUUGUUACUGUUCUGGUAUGGUUCACAGUUGGCAGCGUUACCGGAAGCUUUUGUUGGUGGCUAUCCUCGUGGAUCCACAUUUGGCUUCAGGAUCAGCGUCUAAAGUUUAAUAAAUAUUAGUAUUAGGAUCGUUACAUAUUAAAUUUGUGAAUAUGAACCUUAAGGUUAACCAAUUUUGUGGUUUUUAUCUUCGGUAUAAUUUCAUGAGCUAUUAUAGCCUUCGACGAAAAUUGAUGAGUAUUGACCAUUUGAAAAAAAAACAUUAAAGCUGAGUUCUUAUCUCCACUUCUCUAACCCACAUCUCUCGUUUUCCGCGCGCACGCUUUUCAAACUGCUAAACAGUGUAUUUUUUACAAAAAAAAUUUAUAUAUGAAAGUUACUUUAAAAAAUUAUAUUAAUCCAUUUUCCAAAUUUAUUUUAGCUAAUACAUUGAACACAGCCUAAUAGUGUUCUCCUGCCCAACAUUUUGUGAGUACUAGUAUUGGGAUCAUUGCACAAGAAAUUCAUGAAUAUUAACAUUAGGAAAACAGAAUUCAUAACUUUUAUAAAAAACAUGAAUAUUUUUCUCAUGCACAAAAUUUGGUGAGCAUUAAAAUUGGAAUCGCCAUGCACAAAAUUCAUGAAUAUUAACGUUAUGGAAAAAAACUCAUGAUUUUUAUUCUUUAGCCUGUAAUUUCGUGAGUUAUAGCCUUUGGCCAAAAUUUAUAAGUAAUAAACUUUGGAAAAAAAACAUGUGUGGUUAUUUAUUUCUCACCCAAAAUUUUACGACUAUUUGCCUUGGGCCCAUACGAAACAAAAUUCAUGAAUAAUAACCUUAGGGCAAAGAAAUACAUGAUUUUUAGCCCCCUGCGUAUUAUUUCAUGAGUUAUAGCUCAUGAAUUAUAAAAAUCAUCGAUCAUAUUUUUAAUGCUCGUGAAAAUUUUAAUAUUAACCUUUUAAAAAACACGGAAUUAUUUUAGGCCUAUGGAAAAUAAUAUUAACGCUACAACAUCAAAUUUUAUGAUUUUUUUAUCCUUCACCUUAUAAUUUCAUGAGUUAUAUCCCUCAAGCAAAAUUUAUUAGUAUAAACCUUUGAAAAAAAAUACAUGAAUAUUUAUUUAUGACCCAAAAUUUCUUGAUAUUUAUCUCAGGCCCAUUUCUUGAAUAUUAACCUUAUUAUAAAAAAAAUUCCAUGAAUUUUAGUCGGCCUAUAAUUUCGUGAAUUAUAGAAUUUAGCAAAAAUUGACGAGUAUUAACCUUUUGGGAAAAAAGAAACGCAUGAAUAUUGCUCUCUGUUCCAAAAUUUCACAAGUAUUAUCAUUAGGGUCGUCGCACUAAGGAGUAAAAUUUUCAUGAUUUCUAGCCUUUGCACUAUAACUUUGUGAGUUAUAGCCUUCUACUCAAAUUAAAGAGUAUUAACCUUUUGGGGAAACCAUACGCAUAUUUAUCUCCAGCGCAAAAUUUCAUGAGUAUUUGCCUUGGGUCAGUUCAAAAAAGUUUCAUUAAUAUGAACGUCAUGACAAAAAAAUCAAGAUUUUUAUCCAUCGGCAUAUAGUUUUAUGAGUUAUAGCCUUGGGAGAAUAUAUGGCACGGAUAUUUAUUCCCGGCCAAAAAUUUCUUGAGUAUUUGCCUUGGGCCCAAUCGAAACAAAAAAAUUCAUGAAUACUAACAUUUAUCCCGAACUGACCCAAGGCAAAUACUCAUGAAAUUUUGGGCUGGAGAUAAAUACCGGAGGUUAUAGCCUCCAGUAUAUAAUUUCGGUAGUUAUAGCCUUUAGCUAAGACUGAUGGGUAUUAUCCUUGGGGGGGAGGGGGGAUGAAUCAAUUUUUUUUCCAACCAAAAUUUUCAUGGUAUUAGCAUUGUAGUCACUGCACACAAAAUUCGUGAACAUUAACCUUUUGAGCAAAAGGUUUGUGAUUUUUAGCGGUCAUCCAAUAAUUUUGUGAGUUAUAGCCUUCGAAGAAAAAUAUGUGAGUAUUAUUAACCUUUUGGAAAAUAAAUGCAUGAAUAUUUUUUUCUCAAUCCAAAAUUUUAUCAGUACAACUAUUGGGAUCGUUCGACACAAAAUUCAUGAAUAUUAUUGUUAGGACCAAACAUUUCAUGAUUUUCAUCGUUCGAUCUAUAAUUUCAUGACUUAUAGCCUUCGAGCAAAAUCCAUGAGUAUUAACCUUUGGAAAAAAACAUGAAUAUUUAUCCCAUCGCAAAAUUUCACGCGCAUUUUCAUUGGCCCACUUGGAGAGAGAAAAAUGUGAAUGUUAAAGUUAGGAUCAAAACUUUCAUGGUUUUUAGCCUGACAUAUUAUUUCGGGAGUUAUAGCCUUCGGCAAAAAUUGAUGAGCAUUAACCUUUCUCUCUGACAUAUUAUCAGUAUUUCUCUCUGGCCCAAAAAUACAUUAGUAUUAUCAUUGUGGUUGCUGCACACAAUAAAAAUUAGGGGAAAAUUUUGUGAUUUAUAACCUUCAACAAAUAUAUGAGUAAUAACCUUUGGGAAAAAUGCAUGAAUACUUUUCGUCGAUCGUUGAGCAUAAAAUCCAUGAGUAAUAUACUUAGGACCAAAUGUUUUAUGAUUUUUUAUCGUUCAUCCAAUGAUUUCGUGAGUUAUAUCCUUCAACUAAAACUCCUAAGUAUUAACCAUUGGAAAAUAUGCAUGAACUAUGGUCCAAAAUUUCAAGAGUAUCUGAGUUGGGCUUAUUUGGAACAAAAUUCAUGAACAUUAACCUCUGGAUUUAAAAGUCAUUUUUUUAGCUUCCGGCUUGGUAUUAAUGAUCUGAGAAAAAUGCAUGAAUAUUUUUCUCUAGCAACAAAAUCCGUGAAAAUUAAAGGAUUUUUUUUGGGGGGGGAAUAAAUAGUUUUUUCCGACCCAACAAAUCAGAUAACAUAUUUUUUAGGCUUUGGCCGAAAUUCAUGAGUAUUAAGUUUUAGAAAAAUAAAUGAAUAUUUAUCUCUAUCCCAAAAAUUCACGAAUAUUUGCCUUGGGCCCAUUCAGAACAAAAUAAUUCAAUAUUAAUAUUACGAUAAAAAAAUAUAUGUUUUGCCCUUCAACCUAUAAUUUCAUGAUAUAUAUCCUUCGGGCUUCUGCCAAACUUUCCUUGCUAUGAACCUUUGAGAAAAAAACCCUUGAAUAUUGUUCUCCAUGCCAUAUUUCACAACAACCAGCAUUGGCGUCAUUGCGGAUAAAAUUCACAAAUGUACACAUUAGGACAAAAAUUUCAUGAUUUUAAAACAUUUCUCCGACCGAAAAUUUCAAUAGUAUUAGCCUUGAAACAUUUCUACAUAAAAUUCGUGAAUGCUAACCUUAGGAUGAAGAAAAUUCGAUAUUUUUUAGCCUUUGGCCUAUUAUUUCAUGAUCUUUUGGGGAAAAUGCAUAAAUAUUUUUUUCACUCCAAUAUUUCAUGAGUAUUUGCACUGGGAUCGACGCACAUAAAAUUUAUGAAUAUUAACCUUAUAUCUUAUAAUUUUGUGAUUUUAGCCUUCGGCCUAUAAUUUUGUGAGUUAUAGCCUUCGAAAAAAUUGUUGAAUAUCAAACUUCUGAAAAAAAAUCAUGAAUAAUUUUCUCCGACCCAAAUUUGAAGAGUAUUGCCUUGAAACCAUUCUUCAUAGAAUUCAUGAAUGCUAACCUUAGGACCAAACAUUUCGUGAUUUUUAGCCUUCGCCCUAUAAUUUUGUGAGUUAUAACCUUUGGCCAACAUUUAUGAAUAUUAACCUUUUGAAAACAAAAUGCAUGAAUAAUGUUCUACAGCCUAAAAUUUUAGCACUAUUAGCAUUCACAAAAAUCGUGAAUAUUAGACGUAGGAGUUUUUUUUUUCCUUCGGUCUAUAACUUUCGUGAGUUCUUGCCUUGGGGGAAAUUGAUGAGUAUUCAAAUUUUGGAAAAUAAAAUGCAUGAAUAUUGUUCUCUUGCCCAAAAUUUCAAGGAUAUUAGCUUUGGGAUUGUUACACACAAAAAUUCGUGAAUAUAGUUAUUGCGUUCGGAAAGACAUGCAUAAAUAUUUAUCUCCAGCCUAUAUAAUGUCACGAGUUAUAGUGUUGGCGUCACACUUCAAUUUCUUUGUCAUAUAGUACUCACUAGUGUAUGCACUAUGCAGCAGGUAUCGACAUAUAUUGUGCUCCGGCCCGUUGCUGAUUGAUUCCAGGUAAGUUUGGCAAAGCGUCCAUGACUCAUAUUGUCAUAUUGCCUCCAUGACAACAAGCGAGGGGAAAUGCUUUAGGUGAAUAACCGGAGGAAGUAUCCGGAUGAUGUAUUUGCUCCUGGUCUAGGUGAAUAGCCUUCUCUGGACACUGUUGUCUGCCCUGGAGGUAGUUUUGAUAACAUUGACAGGUAUCUGGAUUGGCAGGUCCCAAGUACGACGGAGAGGCCGGCGCAGAUUAGAGCUGAUCUAUAGGUAAUCACAUAUGUCCAUAAUAUAUGUUUUUUUUAAUAUAAAUGUUUCCGCACAACAAAUUUGUUUCAGUGCUCCCUCAGUUUUCUGGCGCCAACUUUCCAAUAGUUGUGAGAUAAUUAAUUCAUAUACUGUACCUGUUGCUAUAUAAGAGCAAGUUCAAUAGUAUAGCCAACUACUAGCUCCAAUUCAUCUAUAGUCAAUCUAAUAGCCCAUUCAUACAAUAGUUACAUACUACACUAUUAAUAUCUAGUCCCACCUGUCAUAGACACACUGCGUCUUGGAGUCCGUGCUACAGCUGGCUACAAAUCUGUAGCCCGUUGCUCUUCUCUCUCUUGAUUUAUCUUCGUAAAAUAUGUUUGUAGCUGGCUUAUAGCCUGCCAUUGUACCUGCUCUAACGCAGCAAAGUGUGAUGAAUGUUGGUGUUGAUGAUGGGAUCAUGGGAAGUAACCAUGAGAUAACAGAGGUAUUGUUCGAUGGAGUAAGUGUAUUAUAUGUAUGUAAAUAUUAUAUUAUUGUAAAUCAUUUUGAGGAGCUAGACUAGCGUGCCUUAUUAACAAGGAGAUAUGUACCAUUACAUGAUGAUUAACAUAUAAAUCUGUAGCUACAUGGAAUUAAGGUAGUGGAGCAGAGGAGGAAGGAUGAUAGAAGACUCCAAUUCUCCAUGGAUGGGAAUGGGAUCAGGUGGCCUUGCAGAACUCUCCGCCCAGAUCGUCGCACGCCUCCUCGGGGAACACCCUGCGUGCA
Molecule: long non-coding RNA, 5650 nt
Filed under: Oryza sativa (Asian cultivated rice)
Lineage: Eukaryota; Viridiplantae; Streptophyta; Magnoliopsida; Poales; Poaceae
Description: long non-coding RNA (OSAT_LNC000817)
Source: RNAcentral